AGGAACAACUGCAGUGGCGGGGCCAGCUCUGGAGCCCUGGAGUCAGCUCCUGCAGUAACUUAGAGCUCUCUGUCUGCAGGGCCUGGAGGCUCCGGGGCGGG
RNAcentral lists this microRNA precursor (101 nucleotides) under Canis lupus familiaris (dog). RNAcentral's name for it is "mir-8834 microRNA precursor family". It matches the Rfam family "mir-8834 microRNA precursor family". RNAcentral also lists the same sequence under 1 other name. The record is from Rfam by way of RNAcentral. Lineage: Eukaryota; Metazoa; Chordata; Mammalia; Carnivora; Canidae.